UCUCCGUAGGUGAACCAGCGGAAGGAUCAUUCCAAAUAGGGGCGUUAGGCCGCUUAUAUCAAUCGCGAACCUCCCUAUCAGCAAUGUUGCGGCGGAAUUUUCCCUCGAGCGGGUCAGCGCCAACCAGCAACUAUAUCCCAACCCUGUGUCUGCAAAAUAUUAUGAGUAAAACAAUUCUAUAUACAACUUUCAACAACGUAUCUCUUGACUCUAGCAACGAAGAAUAACGAAGAAGAACGGAAUAGCACACGCCUGAAUUCCAGACACACCAAAUCAGAA
RNAcentral lists this unclassified non-coding RNA (279 nucleotides) under plant metagenome. Its description in RNAcentral is "partial contains small subunit ribosomal RNA, internal transcribed spacer 1, and 5.8S ribosomal RNA". The record is from RNAcentral.